UACGUAGGGUGCAAGCGUUGUCCGGAAUUAUUGGGCGUAAAGAGCUCGUAGGCGGUCUGUUGCGUCGGCUGUGAAAACCCGAGGCUCAACCUCGGGCCUGCAGCCGAUACGGGCAGACUAGAGUUCGGCAGAGGAGACCGGAAUUCCUGGUGUAGCGGUGAAAUGCGCAGAUAUCAGGAGGAACACCGGUGGCGAAGGCGGGUCUCUGGGCCGAUACUGACGCUGAGGAGCGAAAGCGUGGGGAGCGAACAGG
This 253-nucleotide ribosomal RNA is filed under the name uncultured bacterium. RNAcentral describes it as "partial 16S ribosomal RNA". It matches the Rfam family "Bacterial small subunit ribosomal RNA", at positions 524 to 776 of the family's 1533-position model. The record is from RNAcentral.